CCCCCACCGGGCUCCGGCGGCCGCGGGACUCCGAGCAGGGCCGGGCGGGCCGCGAGGGAGAGCUUUGCCAUCGACGUCUCCAAGCCCAGACGCCUCCGGGGCCGCUGGUCCUCGCCCUUCCUCCCGCGGGUGGGGCGGCGCGGCGGGCGGUGCAGCGGCGCCCGGGAGGCGAUUUGUGAUUCAAGAUGACCAACGAAGAACCUCUUCCCAAAAAGGUUCGACUGAGUGAAACAGACUUCAAAGUUAUGGCACGAGAUGAGUUAAUUCUAAGGUGGAAGCAGUAUGAAGCAUAUGUGCAAGCUUUGGAGGGCAAGUACACAGACCUUAACUCUAAUGAUGUAACUGGCUUAAGGGAGUCUGAAGAAAAACUAAAGCAACAACAGCAAGAGUCUGCACGCAGGGAAAACAUCCUUGUAAUGAGACUAGCAACCAAGGAACAAGAGAUGCAAGAGUGUACUACUCAAAUCCAGUACCUCAAGCAAGUCCAGCAGCCUAGCGUUGCCCAACUGAGAUCAGCAAUGGUAGACCCAGCGAUCAACUUGUUUUUCCUAAAAAUGAAAGGUGAACUGGAACAGACUAAAGACAAACUGGAACAAGCCCAAAAUGAACUGAGUGCCUGGAAGUUUACGCCUGAUAGAGGCCCGAUGGCGUCGGACUAUUCCAAAGAAGUGGCUACCUCCGAAAAAUUCCCCUUCUAGGAAUUUUAGACACUUGAGAAAUGUUUCUGUUUGAAGAAAAUAGAGGGAGAAGCAGAAGUCUUAAGUCUGUGGCACACUGUGUCUUCAGACAGUUUGGAGGAAUGAAAACCUAGAGAUUUUAAAUCACGAAUUGAACAUGUAAAAUUCCAGUAAAAUGUAAAAAUGGAAUAUGCAUCGCUCUUAACCUUGAGCAUAGUGACUUAGAGACACUGUAUAUUAGCUUUGCCAAUAAGACUGUGGACUUUAUGAUUGUUGUUGAACUUCUGGGUCAAAACUUGAAUGAGGUAAUUUUGCCUUUAAAGGGUUUAUUUGCUAAGAACCAACUUUAAUAGUCAUGAGAGAAUCAACUAAUAGAUGUCAGUACAAGUAGUUCAUACACUUAACCAUUUAGUUUGGGGCUCUGUGUUACUUGAUUGAGCCUCAAUUCAAUGGUUUUAAUCAAUGGUGUGUUCUUUGAAUGGUCGCUGAUGCUGUAGACAAUCUUACCAAGGACCGUACAAACACAGAGGUGUGGUUAUCAAUUCAGGUUUAAACUGUUUGAAGCAUUAUAACAUUCAUUUCACAACUAGAUUGUAUAAGGAUAUUGGCUGUGAUGAGACUCCUGCGUUAUUUUAUUUUUUUCAGUAGUGAAAUUGAUUAAAUCCCCAUUCCAUUCAACAGGCACAUGUUGAAAGAGAAUUGUCGUGUUAAUAGGAAAUGUGUUCCUUCAUUGUAUGUGGGCCUUUUGUAUUGAACUCAUGAUAUUAAAUGUGCCUUGAAAUAGUUGUUUUUUAAAAGUUCAAGGAAUACUAUGAUGAUUUUGUUGUACUUAACAUUUUAAUUUGGGGGGCUGUGAAGAGCAGGUUGAUUUUGGAAAAACUGUUGCUGUGCUCUUCAGAGUGAAGGAAAAGGCUGUGUCUCAUUUAAAAGACCUACUAUUUUCCAGCUGGUACCAUAACAGAGAAGGAGAUUUGACACUUGUUACUUUUUGACACUUUAUCCCAAGAGAUUGCAGUAGAAAUUAAUGUGGGACAGCUUCACAGGGUGGCUGCCAGAAGACUGGGGAGAGUCUGUGUUGAACUGUGGGCUGGCCUAAGUGAGACACGUGAAUUGAAGAAGGUAUUAGUGAUCAUUUCUAGCGAAUUUGUUUGCUCAUUUAGAUAAAUGAGGCAUUAUUUUCUUCAUGCUUCCAUCCAAUCCUGGAGGUGAAUUUUUUCGUCAGCUCAUUCUCUAAGGCACCAAUUUGAAUUUUCACUUGGUGAUAAUGGAGUCUAAGAUGAGUGGAAGAUAAAUGUUCCAGCUUGUCCCCGCGGUUAAGUGCAGUUUAAACAAGGGUGACUAAGUUCUCUUAAUCAUUCCGAUCACUUCCAAACAGGCAAAAAGUUAAUGGCGAAGUGUCGAAUGCUUAUCCAGGAGAAUCAAGAGCUUGGGAGGCAGCUGUCCCAGGGACGUAUUGCACAGCUUGAAGCAGAGUUGGCUUUACAGAAGAAAUAUAGUGAGGAGC
Trichechus manatus latirostris (Florida manatee) is the source of this 2181-nucleotide RNA transcript. It is a transcript of the gene named WT1 associated protein, with no coding region annotated. The record is from RefSeq and is a predicted model, not a curated record. NCBI's taxonomy places the organism in Eukaryota, Metazoa, Chordata, Mammalia, Sirenia, Trichechidae. The transcript is spliced from 8 exons.